AGUCGAGCGCUGUAGCAAUACAGAGCGGCGCACGGGUGAGGAACACGUGGGAACGUACCCAACGGUUUGGGAUAACUCAGGGAAACUUGAGCUAAUACCGAAUACGCCCCUCUUUGGUGACAUUGAUGGGGAAAGAUUUAUCGCCGAUGGAGCGGCCCGCGUCCGAUUAGCUUGUUGGUGAGGUAAAAGCUCACCAAGGCGACGAUCGGUAGCUAGUUUGAGAGAACGAUCAGCCACACUGGGACUGAGACACGGCCCAGACUCCUACGGGAGGCAGCAGUGGGGAAUCUUGGACAAUGGGGGCAACCCUGAUCCAGCCAUGCCGCGUGAGUGAUGAAGGCCCUAGGGUUGUAAAACUCUUUCGGCGGGGACGAUAAUGACGGUACCCGCAGAAGAAGCUCCGGCUAACUUCGUGCCAGCAGCCGCGGUAAUACGAAGGGGGCUAGCGUUGUUCGGAAUUACUGGGCGUAAAGCGCGCGCAGGCGGUUUUCCAAGUCAGAGGUGAAAGCCCAGAGCUCAACUCUGGAACUGCCUUUGAAACUGGAAAACUAGGGUACGGGAGAGGUGAGUGGAAUUCCGAGUGUAGAGGUGAAAUUCGUAGAUAUUCGGAAGAACACCAGUGGCGAAGGCGG
This 632-nucleotide ribosomal RNA is filed under the name uncultured bacterium. Its description in RNAcentral is "bacterial SSU rRNA". It matches the Rfam family "Bacterial small subunit ribosomal RNA", at positions 60 to 724 of the family's 1533-position model. The record is from RNAcentral.